AAAAGCUCCGGCAGUAUAGGAUGGUCCCGCGUCUGAUUAGCUGGUUGGCGGGGUAACGGCCCACCAAGGCGACGAUCAGUAGCCGGCUUGAGAGAGUGGACGGCCACAUUGGGACUGAGACACGGCCCAAACUCCUACGGGAGGCAGCAGUGGGGGAUAUUGCACAAUGGGGGAAACCCUGAUGCAGCGACGCCGCGUGAGUGAAGAAGUAUUUCGGUAUGUAAAGCUCUAUCAGCAGGGAAGAAAAAAGACGGUACCUGACUAAGAAGCCCCGGCUAACUACGUGCCAGCAGCCGCGGUAAUACGUAGGGGGCAAGCGUUAUCCGGAAUUACUGGGUGUAAAGGGUGCGUAGGUGGCAUGGUAAGUCAGAAGUGAAAGCCCGGGGCUUAACCCCGGGACUGCUUUUGAAACUGUCAUGCUGGAGUGCAGGAGAGGUAAGCGGAAUUCCUAGUGUAGCGGUGAAAUGCGUAGAUAUUAGGAGGAACACCAGUGGCGAAGGCGGCUUACUGGACUGUCACUGACGCUGAUGCACGAAAGCGUGGGGAGCAAACAGGAUUAGAUACCCUGGUAGUCCACGCCGUAAACGAUGA
RNAcentral lists this ribosomal RNA (591 nucleotides) under uncultured bacterium. RNAcentral describes it as "bacterial SSU rRNA". It matches the Rfam family "Bacterial small subunit ribosomal RNA", at positions 202 to 812 of the family's 1533-position model. The record is from RNAcentral.